UCUGCAACCACCCUAAGGGCGAGACCACUUACUUGGGAACUAUCCCUGAAUUGACUUCUGGGAACUAUACCUGAAUUGACUUCUAAGGUAGUUCGGAGGACUUAUCAAGAGCUCGGAACCUUCCCUUUGGUUCAAGCUAUUGUCUAUUCUAGUUGGAGAAGGCAGUAAGAGCACGAUCAAAGAAAACCUUAUAGAUUGAAGUUCAUGUGAUUCGGGGUAAGAGAUUAUGGUACCGAUGCAGAGUGAAGACUAAGACCACAAGGAGAACUAGUUAUCCAACGAUAUAAGAUACGGCUACUAAUAAAGCGACUUCCUAGUAUACCUGCUAACUCCUCGCCUAAUCUCUCUGCCAGAGCCAGAUAGCCAAGAAAGAAGAGAGGAGAGCUGGAAUGGGGGAACUCUCGAAAGAGCUUCCGGGCUUCAGUCCUGACCUGAAGGUCUCAAUCAUUCAAUGCUCGUACCCAAGGGACCAAGGUAGCAUCCAAGACAGAUCUUGUCACUGGGGAGACCCAGGAAUAUAGGAAGUGUGGAGUCAGUAGUAGCAGUUUAGUAAGGGCAUGGGGCAGGGAGUGACCCGUCGGAAGUGUGGAGUCAGUAGUAGCAGUUUAGUAAGGGCAGGGAGUGACCCGUCUUGUUGAGUCGACUGUGAACGCAUGGUUAGCUCUUCAAAAGCAAAAGAAUCGCUCUUCUUCAUCUUCUCCUCCUCAUUCCUUUCCUUGAGCAUUGAUCAAGGCAUGGGAUCAGCUCAUGAACACUAGACUAGUAAGUGUUAUAUUAUAGCAUAGCCGCAGGCAAAGUUCAAGUGAAAGCACCCUGCUUCCAGGCAUAUCUUAUUUUCAGGGAAUGGUUCAAUUGACAGGGAAGAAACCAUAACUAGAAAGAAGAAGAAACCAUAACUAGAACUAGAAAGAAAAACAGUCUCAUAUCUAUUUCGAGCUGUCAGAAUAGAAUCUCGUUCUCGAGCUGUCCUUUGGUACUUGACGCUUUAGAUGGUAAUAACUGAAGUGACCACUCUUCAACAGCCCCUCAGCUUACCAUCUGGAAAAAAAGAAGCUCGCUUUCGGCAAGCAGCUUUCAUUUGAUAUUAAGAACAUGGUAGGGCUUCUUUGCAAGAGAAGGGGUUGCGCAGUUAAGAUACGCAGAGGAGGCAUGCCACGCAUAGUCAAAGGGAAGAAAGAAGGAUUGAUGGACAGAGGGAAGUAUCCGGUCUCAUCUGGUUUUUGUUCGCCGGGAAAGAAGAAGUCAUUCCUCUUUCAAGAGACUGAGUUCAUUCAAUUAGAGGCUCCUAUCAAACUGUUCUAGGUUUAUUGUACGCGAGAGAAAACCAACUCCUAUUUGUAAUAGUUCGCAUUCGGGACAAGAAACAUUACAUGGAGAGGAGUUCCAGUGAAGUGAUCAGUUCAUGACAUAUUAUACCUUUCCGGCUGAUAAAUAUAAUAUAGGCGCCCAUUUCCGAACCCGAACUGAUAUGAUAUGAUAGUGUUUUCUCUGAGCUUUCCUUAGUCUCUUAUCUGAAUGGCAUGAACUCUUUGGAAGCAAGGGAGUGAUUAGAGUUCAUAGUUGUUUCAGAACGGUUAGGUACUUGAUUUAUAUAUAAAUUAGAAGCCCCCCCAGUAGAGGGAAGGAGAUGGAAUGGAUAGAGAAGAUUAUAAUACGCCGGCAGCUGCUCUUGCUGUUCGGUUCGGGGCUACAUUAUAGACUGAAGGGGUGCCCGCUCCUACGCUCCUUACCAGUCGCCCCUCGUCUGAUAUCAAUUAGUUUAGUGCCGAACGCUCCGAAAGAGAGUUCCUCUCCCUACCGGUCUGACGCACCAGUUCUAUUCUAACAUUACUUAAUUGCUAUUGGUAUACCAGCUAGCACCAGUUCGUUCAUUUCAUUCACCAGCGCCAAGCUCGUAAAUUAGGUACAAGCUCGUAAAUUAGGUAUAAUUGACUCCUCUACUCCAAUUCUAACAUUACUGGUCAUUCUGGCACCAAGUGGUUCAUGUACCAUUCACUUCCUUCCCUCUCCCGCAGCUGUGAGCUCAAAUACAUACCUCAACUAGAUUCUGGAAGCUCCAUGAAAAGGUUCGAAGCCUUAAAGAGCAGCAGCUGCCGAAAGAGAUUAUUAUAUUAAUCUUCUUCCUUUCUCUUCCCGGCAUAUGAAAGGGAUUCUUUUCCCGUCCCUGUUGCUAUCACUCAAACUGCUGCAGAAAGGUUGGAGAUAGAGUAAGUAGCAGCUUUUGCUCUUUGUCUGAGCAUAUGAGGCUCUGCUCCUUCUGUAGCUUCAGCUGAGGCCGAGAUUCCCUCUGAUCCGUACCCACUACCCGCACAAAAAAAAGUCUAAGUUUCAUUUGGGCCGAGUUAGAGUUCAUUCAUACUGCUAUAUGCCAUUCACUACUCUUGCUGAGAGGGAAAAGAAUCCCGCAGUUCAGAGUGCAACUCCUUCUUCGAGUGGUUUGAUCAUUCCUCUAUUCCCAGCUUCUUUCGCACAGCAGGCGACCACAUGAUGGCUUACUCUUUCAGGUGUUAUACCAUUCACUCCUUCAUGGGUAAGAAACUAUUGAAAGAAAAGCAGCUAAGCACUCGGAUAGGAAAGAAUUUCUUAUUCAAGCACUAGGUAGGCAUAACAUGUGAGUUUACCCGCCGCUAGUUCAGUUGCAGAAAUGGGUGUCUUAGGAAUAGCGAUCCAGGAAGCAGUGCUUCUUGUCCGAGGUAGGUAGGGUAGGAGGAGUCAAUGGACACAUGACUUGGUGUUAGCUAGCUGGCAUCGCUACGUGAGAUAGUUCCUCCGCAGUGAAUGGUGAUAAGUGAGAUUUUGAGUACGCUUUCUAAAUUGAAAUAAAGAGCAGCCGUUCAUGGUUUAAGUUAAAGUACUUGUUCGCUUUUAUCGGGACUCAUUACAUGUCAUAAGCAGCAGCCCUUACGAGUGUGCCCUGUGUUCAAUAAUGGGUCUGUGCUCUCCCGUCCCCCUCCGAGUGAGAAAUAUAGGAUGAAAGGCGUAGCUCCCGAACUGGAUGCGUAGCUCCCGAACUGGAUUUGCUUAUACUAACUCAGACUCGGGAGUCAUUAAAAUAGUUGCUGGUGACCGGGGUAAGACUCAUUGGCUCGACCACUUUGAUAUGAAUAUACGUUCUUUAAUAACCUUUCUUUUCCAGCUAAGACCUAGCACCAAGUACCUGGUCCUAGUAAUUAACUCUUUGUUCUAACAUUAAGAAUUUAGACUCCUUCUUAUCCAGUGGUUCAUGGCAUUCAAAACUUAAACAGAAAUUACGAAAGAUCUAGAAAUAUUGACGGCCCUACCGGUCUCGUGAUUAACGUAUUUCUUUCCUCGGGUGCUAAAACAAGAGGGCUCUCACUCCUGACUCUACCAGAGCGCAUAUCUUUUCUUUCCGGACUCUAGCAGAGGCAUAUUCAAGGUUUGAUUCUCUACCAUACCAGUCCAGUUUCGUAUUAUCCCGUAUGAGCAGCAUAUGUCUUGUUUGAUUCUCUUCUGUACCAGUAUCCGUUCAAAUCGUUAUAUAAAUAAAUAAGUUAACAGUAUACUCAUAUUAGACUCUCAAGUUUGGAGUGUAAAGAAAUAUAAGUCUAUAAAUUUAGACUCUCAAGUUUGGAGUGUAAAGAAAUAUAAGUCUAUAAAUGGAAGUACUGGUAGUAUAACAAUAGAUUCGAACAAGUCAUUGUCUGAUUCAAUUUCAAUCAAGUGUCUCAAUAUUGAAUAUAAGUUCUUCAUUCAAGUAUCUAGUGCGGGGUGUGGAUAACAAGAAAUAUAGUUGUGCGGGGAUCUUGUACCAAACUGAACUUUAGAUCGUGUGCUCUUAGUUAGUCCAUCUGACGUGUUCAAUGGGAGGGUCCGGGAAUUCACUAUCCCAGUCGAGCCGGGAUACCCUUUCUUGUUCAUUUUCUGAGUGAUCAAAGAUUUUUUUCGAGUUCAAAUAGGAAUUAACUGCUGCUGCAGCCGGCUUUUGAGUUAUAGCUUCCGAGGGUCUUUCUUUUUUAUCAUAUGUGAGACUGUUCAGAUACUUGUUAUCAUAUUCCAAACAGAACUUCUCUAUGAAAGAUACUUGUUAUCAUAUUCUUUAAUUCCAUUUCCGAAUGUUUAAAUUUGAGCUCUUCACUUUCCGUAGAUGAAUCUGAAUCUUAGCUACAAGCUAGCACCAGUUCUAUUCACCAGCGCCAAGUCUACAAUGGAUACUCUCACUCCUCGAGUUAACUUCUUUCAUUGCUACAAGCUAGCUAACACCAAGUGGUUUUUAUCUGGCACCAAGUCUACAAUGGAUACUCUCACUCUUUCCAAGCUCUACAAUGGUACCCUACCCAAAGAAAUUCGUUCCUGGAUACAUUUAGCAGCUAGCACCAGUUCGUUAGUCACUGGUAAUUCUGGCACCAAGUAGUUCAUUACUGGUCAAGUAGUUCAUUACUGGUAAUUCACUUCCUUCCCUACCCACUCCAAUUCUAACCUGGAUACAUUAACUCCUCGAGUUAACAGUGUUCUUUCAUUGCUACAUGAGUUAACAGUGUUCUUUCAUUGCUUUUCGAGCCCAGCGGUUCAAUUGUGAAAAGUGCACAAUGCUUAGCCCUCUUACGCUCAGUUGCGGGCACAAGCUUUGGAAUGUCAGAAGUUCCGAAGUGCGGCACCAGUCUAACAUAUUAGAAACUAGUAUUGAUAUACCCUGACCCUUUCAGGUGGAAGGCGACCCGCUUUAAAAUAAGAUGAGUCCAUAACCCGAACGAAAGAGCAGUUCAUUAAGUAAUUAAUUCACGAACUAGCUGAGAGUAUCCUCGAUUGUAGAUAGGCUCGAGCACAUGCGGUAGAGUGAAUGUGUAUAAGUACAAGUACAGUAUCUUCAUAACCACUCUAGAUCGUAUAAUUCCCUACUUUUAUUGGAGUGAGUGAAUCCUCAAAACUCACUGGUGCUAGCGGAAUACGGGGACGAGAUCUGGAAACUACGUGGGAAAAAGAAAAGAGAAAGGUACGACAGAUUAGGAGAGUCUUAAUGAGGUACGGUAGAUCUUUCGUAGUUUUGAAUGCCAUGAUAGACUUAGUCUUAGCUUGUUCAAUUUAUACUCAUAUUCACGAACUGGUGCUAGCUUUCCAGGUCUUAGGUGUUAGCUUGCUGGCAUCGCUACGUGUUCCAUCCCCUGAGGCGCCUCUCUUCCAUUAUCAUAAAAUGAGUGGACCGGUGUCUGACUCUGUCUCCUUUUCUACCUCAUAAGCAAGGAAGUUCUUCUUACAUCCAUCAGCACAAUCAACUCAAUUCCUUUCAAGGAUUUGGCGCGAAGAAUCUUUCUAUAUUUGUGUGGCGCGCUCUUCCCACUGAUGACAAUGUUCAAAAAUAUGGAAGAGUAAGGAAAGGAGAAGAAGGAAUGGAGAAAACAGAAAGAGAUUCAGAUAUGUGAUACCAGCACUAUUCGCUUGAGUUUUGGUAUGCGAUACCAGCACUAUUCGCUUGAGUUUUGGGGUGGGCCUUUCGUACUCCGGGGAGAAUGAUUCAGCGCACUCAAAUCUAGUGUAUGGGAUUCAAUAUGAAUGAAAAGCCGGGUGAACCAACCUAUCAAAUGGAACCAACCUAUCUCACUAAUGAAAAAGUGGGCCUCCAACGCCUGCUUCAGUCAGUCUAGUGGGCCUCCAAUGCCUGCUUCAGUCAGUCUAGUCUCUAUUUGGUGGCGCUGGUUCAUUAAGUAAUUCCCGACUUGGUGCUAGCUAGCUGGCAUCUCGACGUGGGCCAAGAAAGAGCUUUUUCCAUGGAUAUAGCUGGAAGACUUGAGAGAGUGGAGCAAGAAGAGAAGUAGAGAGACAAUGGGAUCAUUUGCUAGGCGGAGCAUAUGCCCGCUCUUGAUCCAAGUAUCAUACGAGAUAGAAUGUAUCCGAUAAAGCAACCUUGAAGAGAGGAAGAGGGCGAGAGCUGCAAUCCCUCAUUGUGCAGUCCGCGGUCACCGGGGAGCAGAGUCCGUCUACUCUGUUCUAUAAGAUGGAAAUAAAGAAUAUAAGAUGGAAAUAAGUAGUCCGUCGACGCAUAGUCGUGUGUUUGAAUUUGAAUGCAUGGCUUUCUGGUGGAGAUCUACUUUGCAGCUUACUUACGAGAGACUCCUAUGCUAAGUGUCUUUGUUUGGUGUGUUUGCAUGUAUGGGCUAGUCGUCAGUGUAUCUUUCUGAUCGGAUGCUUUCAGUAUCGCUUGAUGAACGGAAGUUCAAGUCUACUUUCUUUCUAUAUCCGUUGUUGGAAGUGAGUGAAUCUACUCCCCUAUCCGUUGUUGGAAGUGAGUGAAUCUACUCCUGAAUCGACUCCCCUCUCAUAGAGAGUACUCAGUAGGAACUUGCUUUCAAGCCGAGGUAGAGUAGGAACUUGCUUUCAAUUAUACUGUACUCAGUAGGAUCAAUUCAAGCCGAGGUAGAGUAAGAGUACUCAGUAGGAACUUGCUUUGCUUUCAAUUGUACAGUACUCAGUAGGGCUUUCCCUGUUUUUUUUUCUUUAUAUACUCAAUUCUACUUGAUUCUCAGUCCAAUGCGAGCACUGCCUCUGGAAUUCGACUAAAGGGUAGCCCGUCUACUCCUUUUUACAGGACUCACAGAGGAAUACACCAGAUAGCCCGAACCUCGCAGACGAGUUGAGUUAUGUAAUUUCACUCCUAAAGUAGCAAAUAUAACGGGCGGCGCCGCUCAACAUAGAGAAUGAAGGAAAGCCAAUCCCUAGUUACUUCCUCAGCCAGAAAGAGCUUAGCUAAUUCUAACGCACCAGUACGAGAGAUCAAUGACUUCUCUUUUGAUAUGGUCACUUCUACAUCUCUCCACGUCGCUAUCGCCCCGUCGAAUACAAGACUUUCUCACAUAAAAUCGCCAAUCGACUAUCGUCUCACCUUAUAUGAUAAUCCUUCCCAACUUCAAAGUUCAAAGAAUUCAACUUUUGUCUUUCUUCUCAGCUCUUCGCCCCUCCAAAAAUUAAUGGAAUUCAGUCAGAGAUCAACGUAGCGUCAAGUCAAAAAGGGAGGACAGACCCGGGCAUUAGUCCGAACCUCCUUUACUUUGCCCCAGCCUGUGGAAGCUGAUCCUGGUUCACCUCUCUCUACUAUAUUUUUAACCAGAAUAGGAAUGAAAGUGAAGCAAAAUCCCCGGAAGGAAGAGCAGUAAGUUAAGGGCUUGAUCCAAGAAAAGAGCAGGAACGAGUGAGAACGACGGGGCGACCAACGGGGUAGAGUGAAUGGCCAGCCAUGCAUGUUAGACCUCUUGCUGGGAUCGACCGAUAGGGUAUGUAAUUGUAAUAGCUCUAAUGGGUCAGAUCGUCGAGUACUUUUUCAUAGCCAUUCACGCUGUAAAAUACCUGAUGGGGCAAAAAAUAACUGAUUUCUCACACUGAUUCAAUCAAGUAUCUGCAUAUUCAAGUUCAGUUUGGGUUGUCUCUUUUUGUCCGUGGCUGUUAUCCAACUGUCACUUUGAGCUCUCCAGCAAAUGGGGGCUCGGUGUAUAAACACAAACACCCUCUCCUCAUGUCUUCAUGGGUAAACCUAGGUGUAUACACCCUCUCUUCAUUCGCAUAAAUAAGAACACACACUAUCAUCAUGACAACAAAAAAACACUAACAACAAGGUCUCGGAUCCACACGGUCCACCCUUAGAGGUGUCCCACCCUUAGAGGAAUUUUAUAUUAAGGGAGGGAUCGCCCGGGGAGCUGUUCCACCUGAUACGGGCAGCCCAUAGAGGGUUUUUCCCUCUAAGGUGAAGGUGCUUUCUUAUAUUCUUUAUUCGUGUCGUGCCUUUACAAAUCACAAAUCUUCGUUCCUAGACACUGAAACUUAGAAAUCGUUCCUUUUUUACACUUGCACUGAAACUUAGAAAUCGUUCCUUUUUUACACUUGCACUGAAACUUAGAAAUUGGAUUUAUGGCUUACUUUGGAUUACUCUCUUUCACCGGAGAAACUGCUGCUGCUGCCGGGAAGAGAAAGAAGUACGCGUUCGGGAUUUGAUAUGAUUCCACGUUGGCUUUGAAGCAGCUGCAUGGUACUGGCAUUUUGUAGACCUGGUUCGGUUAUUCCCAUUUUUCUCUAUCUAUUGGUGGGGAGGUAUAUGAAGGAACGAAUCAGUGGAUUGAGGAAUGAAAGCUCGAAGACAAAGAGAACCGGGCUUUUCCAAAGAAUGACUGCAGCUUUCCCACUCCCUUUGAUUAUCAUAUACAAAAAAGUGUCUUCCACUUUCCUACCAAAUCUCUUUUUAUUCUGGCACAUAAAUUCAGGGAUCGAAGAAAUUAUGGCGGAUCAUGUUCACCAAGAAAUGACUCGAAAUUGGAUCUUGGUCUA
Zingiber officinale is the source of this 8268-nucleotide long non-coding RNA. RefSeq lists it as uncharacterized. Lineage: Eukaryota; Viridiplantae; Streptophyta; Magnoliopsida; Zingiberales; Zingiberaceae. The transcript has 2 exons. The record is from RefSeq and is a predicted model, not a curated record.